This is a long non-coding RNA of Magallana angulata, 791 nucleotides long. RefSeq lists it as uncharacterized. The transcript has 3 exons. NCBI's taxonomy places the organism in Eukaryota, Metazoa, Mollusca, Bivalvia, Ostreida, Ostreidae. The record is from RefSeq and is a predicted model, not a curated record.
AGGUAAUCGGAUAAAACCUAUCUAUGCUUCAAUUAUUUACAUGAUUUAUUACUUGUAUUUAAUCAGGGGCGAAACAUCUCAGAGCACGCGUGUAACGAGGGCGAAACCACCCAGUUCCUCUUAUAUAGAGACAGAGGACCAGUCAACAGACAGACAGAACAGACGACAGUAGACGUGAUGAAGUCGGAGAAAAACUAGGCUGCCAGGGAGAACCAUCAACAAGGAAGUGUAAACAAAUGGUAAACAUUAAAAAUAUGUAGCCAUUUUGAGUUAAAGGCCUUUAUAAAGAACAUGAAUAAAAGUGUCUGACCAUGGACCCUGAGUACAACCUUCAGGAUGUGUUACGGUGUCAUCUCUGUGAGACCCCGGGCCCCCCUAUGUACUGUGUCAUUUGCAACAAAUAUCUGUGUAAAGCCUGCGAGAAGGACCAUUUAUCUGAUCAAUCCAAAGAACACAAAGUGGUACCAUUUAAAGAGAGGGGAUAUACUCCAAAGUGUCUAAAACAUUCCUCAGAAAUAUGUGAACUUUACUGUAAACAAUGUGGCAUUCCUAUUUGUGCAACAUGUCUUUCCUCUGAAGAACACAAUGGCCAUCAAUUUAUUGAAAUAACUAAAACCAUGGACAAGAAGAAAGAAAUAAUUCAAAAAGAUUUACAAGAACAAGAGAAAUCCAUUUAUCUUAAAUACCAAGAGAUUCCAUCCAUUAUCCCAGUCCAGAAAUCUGCUCUGAAUGAAAACUCCCAGAAAUUAACAACAGAAAUCGACAGACAUGGAGAAGUCUGGCACAGAGAA